CAAGUCGAACGGCAGCACAGAGGAGCUUGCUCCUUGGGUGGCGAGUGGCGGACGGGUGAGGAAUACAUCGGAAUCUACUCUGUCGUGGGGGAUAACGUAGGGAAACUUACGCUAAUACCGCAUACGACCUACGGGUGAAAGCAGGGGAUCUUCGGACCUUGCGCGAUUGAAUGAGCCGAUGUCGGAUUAGCUAGUUGGCGGGGUAAAGGCCCACCAAGGCGACGAUCCGUAGCUGGUCUGAGAGGAUGAUCAGCCACACUGGAACUGAGACACGGUCCAGACUCCUACGGGAGGCAGCAGUGGGGAAUAUUGGACAAUGGGCGCAAGCCUGAUCCAGCCAUACCGCGUGGGUGAAGAAGGCCUUCGGGUUGUAAAGCCCUUUUGUUGGGAAAGAAAUCCAGCUGGUUAAUACCCGGUUGGGAUGACGGUACCCAAAGAAUAAGCACCGGCUAACUUCGUGCCAGCAGCCGCGGUAAUACGAAGGGUGCAAGCGUUACUCGGAAUUACUGGGCGUAAAGCGUGCGUAGGUGGUCGUUUAAGUCCGUUGUGAAAGCCCUGGGCUCAACCUGGGAACUGCAGUGGAUACUGGGCGACUAGAGU
This 600-nucleotide ribosomal RNA is filed under the name obligately oligotrophic bacteria POC-115. RNAcentral's name for it is "bacterial SSU rRNA". It matches the Rfam family "Bacterial small subunit ribosomal RNA", at positions 58 to 647 of the family's 1533-position model. Lineage: Bacteria; Pseudomonadati; Pseudomonadota; Betaproteobacteria. The record is from RNAcentral.